This 72-nucleotide transfer RNA is filed under the name Myotis lucifugus (little brown bat). It matches the Rfam family "tRNA". From Rfam's summary of the family: Transfer RNA (tRNA) molecules are approximately 80 nucleotides in length. Lineage: Eukaryota; Metazoa; Chordata; Mammalia; Chiroptera; Vespertilionidae. The record is from Rfam by way of RNAcentral.
CCCUAGGUGGCUCAGUGGAUGGAGCGUCAGCUUUUGGACUGAAGGGUCCCAGGUUCGAUUCUGGCCAAGGGC